CACGUAGGGGGCGAGCGUUGUCCGGAUUUAUUGGGCGUAAAGAGCGUGUAGGCGGCCUGAAAGGUCAGCUGUGAAAACUCGAGGCUCAACCUCGAGACGUCGGUUGAAACCAUCUGGCUAGAGUCCGGAAGAGGAGUGUGGAAUUCCCGGUGUAGCGGUGAAAUGCGCAGAUAUCGGGAAGAACACCCGUGGCGAAGGCGGCACUCUGGGACGGUACUGACGCUGAGACGCGAAAGCGUGGGGAGCGAACAGG
RNAcentral lists this ribosomal RNA (253 nucleotides) under uncultured bacterium. RNAcentral describes it as "partial 16S ribosomal RNA". It matches the Rfam family "Bacterial small subunit ribosomal RNA", at positions 524 to 776 of the family's 1533-position model. The record is from RNAcentral.